RNAcentral lists this long non-coding RNA (655 nucleotides) under Heterocephalus glaber (naked mole-rat). RNAcentral's name for it is "lncRNA (ENSHGLG00000039907.1)". The record is from RNAcentral. Lineage: Eukaryota; Metazoa; Chordata; Mammalia; Rodentia; Bathyergidae.
UAUUUUAUCCGAAUUCUGUGUCUCUGUUUCUUUCCGAGAUUUCUGCCACACUGCAAAUACUUGUAUUAACUGUGUAUUGUGGUGCAGCAUCUGAAAUGUCAUCUUGAGUGCAUCACUGUUUUGGGUUUCAGAUGUCCCCAUGAGCCCUGCACUGUGGGAUGACUGCAGAGAUAAAGACCAGCUGGAGAAGUUGGGGAGCAAUCCUGGAGUCAGACGGGAGACAUUUGCCUGGAGCAAUGAGGCCCAGGACACCUUGGACAAAGGUGCCUCCUUGCCUCUGCCUUCACCCUGUGGGUCCAGGAAUACUUUGCUACUGCUGGCCCCGGCAAGUGGACAAAUCACCCCCUCUGAGAACACAGCCAGAUCUGAUGGAGGGGCGGGAGCUGUGGGAUCGAACUCGGGACCUUGCACUUUCGAGGCAGGAGCCGGAACCACCGAGCUAAAUCCCCAGCCCCUGAACUAGAGCUGGUGAAGGUGAAGAGCUUUUGAAGGUCUUGCUGUGUUGCCUGAACUUGUGAUCUUCCUGCCUCAAACUCCCAAGUACCAGGAGUUACAAACUCGUGCCACCACUCCUGGCUCAUCACAAGCCCCUUUUGACAACACCUGGCUUUAUAUUAAUGAAGUCAGUUUUGGAGGGUGGGGUUGGCUGCCAGAG